CCUACGGGUGGCAGCAGUGAGGAAUAUUGGUCAAUGGGCGCGAGCCUGAACCAGCCAAGUAGCGUGAAGGAUGACUGCCCUACGGGUUGUAAACUUCUUUUAUAAAGGAAUAAAGUGAGGCACGUGUGCCUUUUUGUAUGUACUUUAUGAAUAAGGAUCGGCUAACUCCGGGCCAGCAGCCGCGGUAAUACGGAGGAUCCGAGCGUUAUCCGGAUUUAUUGGGUUUAAAGGGAGCGUAGAUGGGUUGUUAAGUCAGUUGUGAAAGUUUGCGGCUUAACCGUGAAAUUGCCAUUGAUACUGGCGGUCUAGAGUACAGUUGAGGUAGGCGGAAUGCGUGGUGUAGCGGUGAAAUGCUUAGAGAUCACGAAGAACUCCGAUUGCGAAGGCAGCUUACUAAACUGCCACUGACAUUGAUGCUCGAAAGUGUGGGGAUCAAACAGGAUUAGAUACCCCAGUAGUC
This 460-nucleotide ribosomal RNA is filed under the name uncultured bacterium. Its description in RNAcentral is "partial 16S ribosomal RNA". It matches the Rfam family "Bacterial small subunit ribosomal RNA", at positions 338 to 795 of the family's 1533-position model. The record is from RNAcentral.